GAGUUUGAUCUUGGCUCAGAACGAACGCUGGCGGCAGGCUUAACACAUGCAAGUCGAGCGCCCCGCAAGGGGAGCGGCAGACGGGUGAGUAACGCGUGGGAAUCUACCCAUCUCUACGGAACAACUCCGGGAAACUGGAGCUAAUACCGUAUACGUCCUUAUGGAGAAGGAUUUAUCGGAGAUGGAUGAGCCCGCGUUGGAUUAGCUAGUUGGGGGGGUAAUGGCCUACCAAGGCGACGAUCCAUAGCUGGUCU
Molecule: ribosomal RNA, 254 nt
Filed under: Mesorhizobium australicum
Lineage: Bacteria; Pseudomonadati; Pseudomonadota; Alphaproteobacteria; Hyphomicrobiales; Phyllobacteriaceae
Description: partial 16S ribosomal RNA
Rfam family: Bacterial small subunit ribosomal RNA
Source: RNAcentral